CCUACGGGAGGAAGCAGUGAGGAAUAUUGGUCAAUGGGCGCGAGCCUGAACCAGCCAAGUCGCGUGAGGGAAGACGGUCCUAUGGAUUGUACACCUCUUUUGUCGGGGAGCAAAAGACGCCACGCGUGGCGUUCCGAGAGUACCCGAAGAAAAAGCAUCGGCUAACUCCGUGCCAGCAGCCGCGGUAAUACGGAGGAUGCGAGCGUUAUCCGGAUUUAUUGGGGUUAAAGGGUGCGCAGGCGGAAGAUCAAGUCAGCGGUAAAAGUGAGAGGCUCAACCUCUUCGAGCCGUGGAAACGGGUUGUCUUGAGUGAGUGAGAGGGAUGCGGGAUGCGUGGGGUAGCGGUGAAAUGCAUGGAUAUCACGCAGAA
This 370-nucleotide ribosomal RNA is filed under the name uncultured bacterium. RNAcentral's name for it is "partial 16S ribosomal RNA". It matches the Rfam family "Bacterial small subunit ribosomal RNA", at positions 338 to 706 of the family's 1533-position model. The record is from RNAcentral.